Diceros bicornis minor is the source of this 176-nucleotide long non-coding RNA. RefSeq lists it as uncharacterized. The record is from RefSeq and is a predicted model, not a curated record. NCBI's taxonomy places the organism in Eukaryota, Metazoa, Chordata, Mammalia, Perissodactyla, Rhinocerotidae. The transcript is spliced from 3 exons.
GUUGAGAUUGGAUCAUGAAGUGUUUUUGUAAGUCACCAAAUUCAUGUGGAUGUUGACAUUCCCAAGGUGUUCUCCCUCCCAUGGCAGCAGAGAGGGGCUGCUCUGUGUCAGUCAGAAACCAAUAUUUCCAAAGCAACAUUCUUUGCAGAUUCUACAAAGAGGUGAUACCACACAGC